Sciurus carolinensis (gray squirrel) is the source of this 2925-nucleotide RNA transcript. It is a transcript of the gene named translation initiation factor IF-2-like, with no coding region annotated. The record is from RefSeq and is a predicted model, not a curated record. The transcript has 5 exons. NCBI's taxonomy places the organism in Eukaryota, Metazoa, Chordata, Mammalia, Rodentia, Sciuridae.
GUCCAGCAGGAUCCCAGGUGGGACCCGGGCGGGAGGAGGGCUGGGGUCCGGACCACCCCCCACACCGAGCGUGGGGGGAGGGGCGGCGGGAUUGACAGUCGGUAAUUGGGUAACUGGAGGCGGCUUCUCCGGCCCGGCGGCCCCGCCACCGCGACGCCGGGCCCCUGACGUCACCCGAUUCGCCAGGAAAUGAACUUUUUAAUAAUCCGAGGAGGGAGGAAAGCCCUCGGUCCCCUUGGCUCGGGGGGCGCCGGGCCGGGCUCAAGCUCCGCGGGCGCGCCCCGGACACCCCCUCCCAGGCCAGCUCCUGGCAGCGCCGAGGGGGCGCGGGCUCCGACUGGGGCCUCCUCCUGCCUCUGCGUCUGGCGUCUGUUUGUCCGAGGCCCUGGCGCAGGUAGAGGCGUGGGGCUGGGGGAUGCACAGCUCCAUGGGGCUGGAAACCCGCGCGUCCGCGGCCGGUGGGGACCCUCUGGCCCCGGCCGCCCUCUGCGUCUCCCGAUCCUUUGCAUCCGGGAGGGAGCCGGGCCUGGACUGCUUGGAAUUCCGUUCCUCGGGAGAGGAGGCUGGCGUCCGCCAGAGAAGGCGCGCGGGGGCCGGGAACUGCCGCGCCAGGCCGCUGGCGCCGGGCCUCGGGGAGCCGGCGUGGCAGUUCACGAUCCUUCCUCAACGCGUACAAUGAGAUCGCCACGGAGCUUGGAGCUCGUUCGGCCUAACGGGAGCCUCUCCGAGACACCAGGGCCUCGGAUCAUCCCCCCAUGUUCCCCAAGACCGCUCCACUGGAGCUGGAACCAGGACUCAGCGCGGGAAGCCGUACCCGCCGCGGGGCGGUAGACGACGGAGCCGAGCGGAAGCUUCCCGCCGGGCCGCGAUCAGCGCCUCCGCUCGCACGGAGGUGGGCAGCUCGGGGCACCCGGGAAAGCAGGUUCCAACCUCCACCUCCAGGCCAGUGUCCCAGGGAUGGGGGGCGCCGAGACCCGCAGACAACCCGACUACGUUUCUCCGCGCUCCACCAAACUGCUCGGGUUUGAUCCAGCGCGCCUGGCUGAACGGCGGCAUGACAACUGGUAAAUCCGUUUCGUUAGACGCAAUUUGUUUGCAAUUUGUCAACCCGGCUGGGAAACGCUCUCCAGACGCCCGGGCAGCCGCUUUGACCCUACCUGGUUCCCGAAUCCUGCUCGCUCCUAAACGAAUCCCAGCGCGGGGAUCCUGCGUCCACCCGGAGCUCAACGCCAGAUGUUCCGGACCAUGGGAGAUGUGCCCCCCCCCAAAAAAAAAAAAAAAAAACGAAUUUCUUUCCUUGUUUGCUGGGAAAGAUGCGGCCACCACACCCGCGGACUCCGAACGCGGGGCCUUUUCCCCUCGCAGCUGGAUCAACCCCCCAUCCAAGCCUGGCCACCACCGAAUGAUCCUCAAUGCCCGGCGUCCAGCCUCAUCCUGAUCGCCGUCUACGCCCACCGGCUGCAGAGCCCCGAGCCCGCGGCGGCCCCCCGUUCUUAUUGAAAUCCCACUAAACGGAUUCUGACUCUGGCUUGGGGCAGGGGGGAGACUUCCAGAUCCGGCACUGUCCCCCACCUGCACCCCAGCCACACAGGAUAAAAGGCCGCGGGGUGCGGCACGCGGGGGCGCAAGCAGGAGCGAGCCGGGUUAAGCCGCGCAAAGCCGGCGCACGGGACCAGCCGGCAGGUGCAGCCGCCGCUCGGAGGCCCCGGCUCUGGCGCAUCCGCUGCAGCGGCCCCGGAUUAUCGGAGCCCUUUCAGAGCGCGCACAACGAAUGCGCCCGCCAUCGAAUGCAGCAUUUACCAGCGCAGAUCCGCGCGCUGAUGGGCAGGCAGAUAGCCAUCCGCGGGGGGCACGUCGGGCGCCCUGUGCCCCGCGCCUCCAGCCUGCCCGCCGGGGCCACCCGAGUGUGCGCCCCCGGCUGCGCCGGCCGUGCUUGCAGGGUCAGUGAGUGGGCGCUCAGCAAACGGGGACCUGGAUGUGCGUGCAAGAGUGUCAAACGUGUACUGCAAGAAAGUGCACACGUUGGAGCCCGGGCGCACACGCGUGGUGUGCUGGGCGCCGGGAGGUGGCCUUUGAGGGCGAACACAGAGGCGCGGCGCACGAGCGUGUGGGCAGGCAUAAAGGAGGGGCUAUGCAAACCGGGGUUUGCAAGUGAGCACAGGGUUAGCACCUCAGUGUAGGUACCCUCCAGGAUGCCAUUUAGGGGGACACACCAGGAAGGGCGUGGCAGCCACUAGUCAGCGCGUGGUGUGCACGUGGUGCGUUUGGGGGGCCGUGCAAGCUUGAAAGCGGGUGCAUCCGUGCGCACACCUGGAUGCCAAAGGUGAAUGUGGUCGCCCGCGUUCACGCCCGUGCGUGCCUUUGGAGUGUGCGCGCGUCAGUGGGAAGGUGUGUCCUUGUGUAUCUUUCCGCCCAGGUGCACAGCGAGAGACGGAAAGGCCUGUCCGUGCGCUUGCGGGUGUAGACUCCGAGCUGGACCCUGCAGCCUGGGGAAGAGGCAGAGAUGGGUGUGCGCGGCAGGGGCGUGGGAUGUGUGGUGUUGGUAGCAGAAACGGGAUGCGGAACGAAGAGGAGUGAUCCAAGGAGUUUGGAGACACCCAAGGGUCCUGGCCCCACAGCCUCUCCACUGAAGCCCUGAAGCUGGGGCCGGAAAGCCCCAAGCCUGGCUGCCUGAGGUCCCUGCGCCGAACAACUCAGCAAGCUCCAUCUUCCAAGCGGGAGAGCCUGGUGCCCACAGAUCUGCUUCAACCCACCACCCAGAAGGGCAUGGGAUUGAGAGAGACCGAGUCACAGAGGCCCCUCUGGCAGGGGAUCGGGGGACGGAAAACACUUCCUGCCUGGGUCUCAGGGUGCCUUGGCCUAUCUGGGGAGGCCUGAGCUGCUGGCUGAGACUUCACUCAUAAUACAAGAUAAUUAUCCCAGAGG